UCCAAUACAUAGUAUAAAGUAUCCUGUCAUAAAGAGUUAUUCUUCCUAACAUCAAUUAUCAUUAAAAAAUUAUUUUCAACUUGUUCAUUAUCAUAAUUUCACGUAAAACAACAUCAAGCAUUGUCGUGACGUAGAUUAGAAACACCGUGUGAAGCAGACAACUUUCACUUUUCCAUCAAAUUUCGCCGGGAACGAUACAAUGCAGGUAAGUAAAAUUGUUACAGAUGUUUGGUAGAAAUACUCAUCUAAAACCUAUAAAAACAUCAUCUUGUUGGGAAAUCAGAUUAUAAUUAUAUUAGAUAUAAAGUUGCAGGUCGCUAGGUUUCCUAUAUCGAAUCACUGCUUCUGACGGUAGUGAUAUAUUUUGAGUGAAAGGGAUCUUGUCAAAAUUUAUUUUUCAAAUUCGAUUUCCGUAUAUUUAGUUGAAAUAAAAAAGAAACACAAGUGAAAACAUGCUAUCUCAAUCAUUUGCAUCAAUUCUCUUUCAACAUUACAUAAUUAUUUGGAUUUUCAGAUAUGCCCCCAAAAAAACUGAAAACUAAAACUGGUGGAAAUACACCUACUCAAAAAUCAGCAGCAAACAUUGCUAGGAAAUAUAAAGCAUGUGGAAAGAGAAUGUCCCCAAAGAGAAGAGAGAGAGUCCGAAGAGCAUUAUAUAAUGUAAGUACAAAUGAACAGUCAAUCAAGAAAGUGGUGUUGGAAUUCCUCUAUUCAUUUCUAUACCAACCGGUCACAUUGGACAAUAGCCUGCUGUGGAUGGUGAAAUCGCGCAUGUUGAGCAAUCCAGCAGUUUAGCUUCUACGAAAAUUAUCAUUGACAAAUGUGUUGUGAAAGGCUAUCAUGUGUUUAAAAUUCGUCCCCCAUAUACCCCUCCUCCAACUCGAUUAAUUGUUGACCGAGAAUAUUCAAACAUAAAAGACAGCAAUGCUUGUUUGGUGUGGCUUCCACCAUUGAAUAAUUUCCCCCCAAAUAUUCAUAAUGACAUUACAGAUGAAAAACGUCAGCUGAAAGUUAGUGACAUAGCUGGGCUACCUAUUGGACAUGUACCAAAAUGCCUAUCUGCACAUUUUCGUAACAUUUUGGAUAAUGGCGGCGAAAUAUUUGCCGAGGUGACAGGACAGCCAGUAGUAAGUUUUCCUCCAUGGCCCGAGCCAAAUGAGGAAGGGGGCGGUGUUGUGCUUCCCUGCAAAUACAUACUUGAAAAUGUGAAUGCUUCAACUUUAUUUGAUAAAUUGAAGACAAUUUUGUCUCAAUUAAAAGAGGGGGAUGCGAUGAAAUUGUAUACUUUAUAGAUGAUAAACAGCCUCUGAACUUGA
This is an RNA transcript of Ostrea edulis (European flat oyster), 1316 nucleotides long. RefSeq lists it as uncharacterized. The record is from RefSeq and is a predicted model, not a curated record. The transcript is spliced from 2 exons. Lineage: Eukaryota; Metazoa; Mollusca; Bivalvia; Ostreida; Ostreidae.